RNAcentral lists this transfer RNA (76 nucleotides) under Marmota monax (woodchuck). RNAcentral's name for it is "tRNA.Ala". Lineage: Eukaryota; Metazoa; Chordata; Mammalia; Rodentia; Sciuridae. The record is from RNAcentral.
UGGGGAAACAGCUCAAUUGGUUGAGUGCUUGCCUAGCAUGCACAAAGCCCUGGGUUCAAUCCCCAGCAUUACUUAA